UGCGUAGGCGGGUCUUUAAGUCAGGGGUGAAAUCCUGGAGCUCAACUCCAGAACUGCCUUUGAUACUGAAGAUCUUGAGUCCGGGAGAGGUGAGUGGAACUGCGAGUGUAGAGGUGAAAUUCGUAGAUAUUCGCAAGAACACCAGUGGCGAAGGCGGCUCACUGGCCCGAUACUGACGCUGAGGCACGAAAGCGUGGGAGCAAACA
Molecule: ribosomal RNA, 206 nt
Filed under: uncultured bacterium
Lineage: Bacteria
Description: partial 16S ribosomal RNA
Rfam family: Bacterial small subunit ribosomal RNA
Source: RNAcentral